RNAcentral lists this ribosomal RNA (301 nucleotides) under uncultured bacterium. RNAcentral describes it as "partial 16S ribosomal RNA". It matches the Rfam family "Bacterial small subunit ribosomal RNA", at positions 509 to 807 of the family's 1533-position model. The record is from RNAcentral.
CAGCAGCCGCGGGAAUACGAAGGGGGCUAGCGUUGUUCGGAAUUACUGGGCGUAAAGCGCACGUAGGCGGAUAUUUAAGUCAGGGGUGAAAUCCCGCAGCUCAACUGCGGAACUGCCUUUGAUACUGGGUAUCUUGAGUAUGGAAGAGGUUAGUGGAAUUGCGAGUGUAGAGGUGAAAUUCGUAGAUAUUCGCAGGAACACCAGUGGCGAAGGCGGCUAACUGGUCCAUAACUGACGCUGAGGUGCGAAAGCGUGGGGAGCAAACAGGAUUAGAUACCCCUGUAGUCCCUGUCUCUUAUAC